Molecule: long non-coding RNA, 5591 nt
Organism: Scleropages formosus (Asian bonytongue)
Lineage: Eukaryota; Metazoa; Chordata; Actinopteri; Osteoglossiformes; Osteoglossidae
Source: Ensembl
AGUUGACGUCGCAGUAGUGGUUGGCGUGGUUAUGCUUUCGGUUGUUGUGGGAGUUGUGGUCGUUGCUGUAGCUGUUGACAUCGCGGCAGUGGUCGCCGUGGUGGUGGUUUCGGUUGUCAAGGGAGUUGUGGUCAUUUCAGUAGUGGUUGACGUCGCGGUAGUGGUCGGCAUGGUGGUGGUUUCGGUUGUCAUGGGAGUUGUAGUCGUUGCUGUAGUAGUUGACGUCUCGGUAGUGGUCGGAGCUGUUGUGCUUUGGGUUGUCGUGGGAGUUGUUGUCGUUGCUGUAGUAGUUGACGUCGUGGAAGUGGUUGACGCCGCGGCAGUGGUCGGCGUGGUGGUUGUGGUUUCGGUUGUCGUGGGAGUUGUCAUUUCAGUAGUGGUUGACGUCGCGGCAGUGGUCGGCAUGGUGGUGGUUCCGGUUGUCGUAGGAGUUGUAGUCGUUGCAGUAGUGGUUGACGUCGCGGCAGUGUUCGGCAUGGUGGUGGUUCCGGUUGUCGUGGGAGUUGUUGUCGUUUCAGCAGUAGUUGACAUCGUGGUACUUGUCAGGGUGGUGGUUGUUUCGGUUGUCGUGGGAGUUGUUGUCGUUGCUGUAGUAGUUGACGUCACGGUAGUGGUCGGAGCUGUUGUGCUUUGGGUUGUCGUGGGAGUUGUAGUCGUUGCAGUAGUAGUUGACGUCGCGGUAGUGGGUGAUGCCGCAGCAGUGGUCGGCGUGGUGGUGGUUCCGGUUGUCGUGGGAGUUGUAGUAGUUGCAGUAGAAGUUGACGUCGCAGUAGUGGUUGGCGUGGUUAUGCUUUCGGUUGUUGUGGGAGUUGUGGUCGUUGCUGUAGCUGUUGACAUCGCGGCAGUGGUCGCCGUGGUGGUGGUUUCGGUUGUCAAGGGAGUUGUGGUCAUUUCAGUAGUGGUUGACGUCGCGGUAGUGGUCGGCAUGGUGGUGGUUUCGGUUGUCAUGGGAGUUGUAGUCGUUGCUGUAGUAGUUGACGUCGCAGAAGUGGUUGACGCCGCGGCAGUAGUCGGCGUGGUGGUGGUGGUUUCGAUUGUCGUGGGAGUUUUAGUCGUUGCAGUCGUAGUUGACGUCGCGGUAGUGGUCGGAGCUGUUGUGCUUUGGGUUGUCGUGGGAGUUGUCGUUUCAGUAGUAGUUGACAUCGUGGUACUUGUCAGGGUGGUGGUUGUUUCGGUUGUCGUGGGAGUUGUUGUCGUUGCUGUAGUAGUUGACGUCACGGUAGUGGUCGGAGCUGUUGUGCUUUGGGUUGUCGUGGGAGUUGUUGUCGUUGCUGUAGUAGUUGACGUCGCGGUAGUGGGUGAUGCCGCAGCAGUGGUCGCCGUGGUGGUGGUUUCGGUUGUCAUGGGAGUUGUGGUCAUUUCAGUAGUGGUUGACGUCGCGGCAGUGGUCGCCAUGGUGGUGGUUCCGGUUGUCGUGGGAGUUGCUGUCGUUGCUGUAGUAGUUGACGCAGAGGUAGUGGUCGGAGUGGUUGUGCUUUCGGUUGUUGUGGGAGUUGUAGUCGUUGCUGUAGCUGUUGACAUCGCGGCAGUGGUCGCCGUGGUGGUGGUUUCGGUUGUCAAGGGAGUUGUGGUCAUUUCAGUAGUGGUUGACGUCGCGGCAGUGGUCGGCAUGGUGGUGGUUUCGGUUGUCAUGGGAGUUGUUGUCGUUGCUGAAGUAGUUGACGUCGUGGUAGUGGUUGGAGCUGUUGUGCUUUGGGUUGUCGUGGGAGUUGUAGUCGUUGCAGUAGUAGUUGAAGUCGCGGCAGUGGUCGGCGUGGUUGUGCUUUCAGUUGUCGUGGGAGUUGUCAUUUCAGUAGUGGUUGACGUCGCGGCAGUGGUCAGCAUGGUGGUGGUUCCGGUUGUCGUAGGAGUUGUAGUCGUUGCAGUAGUGGUUGACGUCGCGGCAGUGGUCGGCAUGGUGGUGGUUCCGGUUGUCGUGGGAGUUGUAGUCGUUGCAGUAGUGGUUGACGUCGCGGCAGUGUUCGGCAUGGUGGUGGUUCCGGUUGUCGUGGGAGUUGUUGUCGUUUCAGUAGUUGUUGUCGUUUCAGUAGUAGUUGACAUCGCGGUAGUGGGUGAUGCCGCAGCAGUGGUCGGCGUGGUGGUGGUUCCGGUUGUCGUGGGAGUUGUAGUAGUUUCAGUAGAAGUUGACGUUGCAGUAGUGGUUGGUGUGGUUAUGCUUUCGGUUGUUGUGGGAGUUGUGGUCGUUUCAGUAGUGGUUGACGCAGAGGUAGUGGUCGGAGUGGUUGUGCUUUCGGUUGUUGUGGGAGUUGUAGUCGUUGCUUUAGUAGUUGACGUUGCGGUAGUGGGUGAUGCCGCAGCAGUGGUCGGCGUGGUGGUGGUUUCGGUUCUCGUGGGAGUUGUAGUCAUUUCAGAAGUCGUUGACGUUCCGGUAGUGGGUGAUGCCGCAGCAGUGGUCGGCGUGGUGGUGGUUCCGGUUGUCGUGGGAGUUGUAGUAGUUUCAGUAGAAGUUGACGUUGCAGUAGUGGUUGGUGUGGUUAUGCUUUCGGUUGUUGUGGGAGUUGUAGUCGUUUCAGUAGUGGUUGACGUCGCGGCAGUGGUCGGCAUGGUGGUGGUUCCGGUUGUCGUGGGAGUUGUAGUCGUUGCAGUAGUGGUUGACGUCGCGGCAGUGUUCGGCAUGGUGGUGGUUCCGGUUGUCGUGGGAGUUGUAGUCAUUUCAGUAGUGAUUGACGCAGAGGUAGUGGUCGGAGUGGUUGUGCUUUCGGUUGUUGUGGGAGUUGUAGUCGUUUCAGUAGUGGUUGACGUCGCGGUCGUGGUUGGAGUGUUUGUGGUUUCGGUUGUCGUGGGAGUUGUAGUCAUUUCAGGAGUAGUUGACGUUGCGGUAGUGGUCGGAGUGGUUGUGCUUUCGGUUGUCGUUGGAGUAGUAGUCGUUUCAGUUGUAGUUGACGUCGCAGUAGUGGUUGGCGUGGUUAUGCUUUCGGUUAUCGUGGGAGUUGUUGUCGUUGCUGUAGUAGUUGACGUCGCAGAAGUGGUUGACACCGCGGCAGUCGUCGGCGUGGUGGUGGUUCCGGUUGUCGUGGGAGUUGUAGUCGUUGCAGUAGUGGUUGACGUCGCGGCAGUGUUCGGCAUGGUGGUGGUUUCGGUUGUCGUGGGAGUUGUUGUCGUUUCAGUAGUAGUUGACGCAGAGGUAGUGGUCGGAGCUGUUGUGCUUUGGGUUGUCGUGGGAGUUGUUGUCGUUGCUGUAGUAGUUGACGUCGCGGUAGUGGGUGAUGCCGCAGCAGUGGUCGGCGUGGUGGUGGUUCCGAUUGUCGUGGGAGUUGUUGUCGUUUCAGUAGUAGUUGACAUCGCGGUAGUGGGUGAUGCCGCAGCAGUGGUCGGCGUGGUGGUGGUUCCGGUUGUCGUGGGAGUUGUAGUAGUUUCAGUAGAAGUUGACGUUGCAGUAGUGGUUGGUGUGGUUAUGCUUUCGGUUGUUGUGGGAGUUGUGGUCGUUUCAGUAGUGGUUGACGCAGAGGUAGUGGUCGGAGUGGUUGUGCUUUCGGUUGUUGUGGGAGUUGUAGUCGUUGCUGUAGUAGUUGACGUCGCGGUAGUGGGUGAUGCCGCAGCAGUGGUCGGCGUGGUGGUGGUUCCGGUUGUCGUGGGAGUUGUAGUAGUUUCAGUAGAAGUUGACGUUGCAGUAGUGGUUGGUGUGGUUAUGCUUUCGGUUGUUGUGGGAGUUGUAGUCGUUUCAGUAGUGGUUGACGUCGCGGUCGUGGUUGGAGUGUUUGUGGUUUCGGUUGUCGUGGGAGGUGUAAUCAUUUCAGUAGUGGUUGACGUCGCGGUAGUGGUCGGAGUGGUUGUGCUUUCGGUUGUUGUGGGAGUUGUAGUCAUUUCAGGAGUAGUUGACGUUGCGGUAGUGGUCGGAGUGGUUGUGCUUUCGGUUGUCGUUGGAGUAGUAGUCGUUUCAGUUGUAGUUGACGUUGCAGUAGUGGUUGGCGUGGUUAUGCUUUCGGUUAUCGUGGGAGUUGUUGUCCUUGCUGUAGUAGUUGACGUCGCAGAAGUGGUUGACGCUGCGGCAGUAGUCGGCGUGGUGGUGGUUUCAGUUCUCGUGGGAAUUGUAGUCGUUGCAGUAGUAGUUGACGUCGUGGAAGUGGUUGACGCCGCGGCAGUGGUCGGCGUGGUGGUUGUGCUUUCGAUUGUUGUGGGAGUUGUAGUAGUUGCAGUAGAAGUUGACGUCGCAGUAGUGGUUGGCGUGGUUAUGCUUUCAGUUGUCAUGGGAGUUGUCGUUUCAGUAGUGGUUGACGUCGUGGAAGUGGUUGACGCCGCAGCAGUAGUCAGCGUGGUGGUCGUUUCAGUAGUAGCUGAGGCCACGGUAGUGGUCGGCGUGGUUGUGCUUUCGGUUGUCAUGGGAGUUGUAGUCAUUUCAGUAAUAGUUGACGUCGCGGAAGUGGGUGACACCGCAGCAGUGGUCGGCGUGGUGGUGGUUUCGGUUGUCGUGGGAGUUGACGUCGUUUCAGAAGUAGUUGAAGUCGCGGUAGUGGUCGGCGUGGUGAUGCUUUCGGUUGUCGUGGGAGUUGUAGUCGUUGCAGUAGCUGUUGAUAUCGCGGCAGUGCUCAGCGUGGUGGUGGUUUCAGUUGUCGAGGGAGGUGUAGUCAUUUCAGUAGUAGUUGACGCAGAGGUAGUGGUCGGAGUGGUUGUGCUUUCGGUUGUUGUGGGAGUUGUAGUCGUUUCAGUAGUGGUUGACGUCGCGGUCGUGGUUGGAGUGUUUGUGGUUUCGGUUGUUGUGGGAGUUGUAGUCAUUUCAGGAGUAGUUGACGUUGCAGUAGUGGUCGGAGUGGUUGUGCUUUCGGUUGUCGUUGGAGUAGUAGUCGUUUCAGUUGUAGUUGACGUCGCAGUAGUGGUCGGCGUGGUUGUGCUUUCGGUUGUCGUUGUCAUUGUAAUCAUUUCUGUAGUACCUGAUGUCACUGUUGUGGUCGGAGUGGUUGUGUUUUCGGUUGCCGUUGGAGUUGUAGUCGUUUCGUUUGUAUUUUGGCCUUUUAUUGCUGUGGCUUGAGAGCAAUGUGCAAACAUUAGUUUUAAAUUUUAAUUUAAGCCUUUGUGCUUUUACAUUUUUCGAUGUAUACUUUAUACUAUGUUAAACCAUGUAGAAUUUGUUUAUCUUAGUCUUGAAGUUUAACAUUUUUUCAAAAUCUUUUUAUUGGAUAUCCUCAGUUCAGUAGAUUCCAGAUUGAUUCUAUAUAUUUUCCAUUUUGCUUAUUUAAUAAUAUGUUAAAUUUAUGUUCAUGAUGCUGAAGGUGUGAAUUGUUGAAGGAAUCAUUUCAUGGCUCUUUAUCCUUACCAGUCAAAAGAAAGAGUGCGAAUCUCCCCACCGUCCACAUAGUGGCAAGAAGUUCUCGUCACCUGCAAUGUGAACACUUUCUUUAGUAUUAAUACGAGUUCAGCGUGAAGAGCUCCAUGUUUAGUAUUUAUAUGAGUGCAGUGUCAAGUGCUCAGUGUUGACUAAUAGUAUGAUUACAGUGUUAAGGACUGUUUUCCUAUGCUUCAAAGCCAAUAAUUUGUGUUGUUUGUAUUUGUACAUUGAUCAAAUGUUAUUACUUCCCUAAGUAUUGUGUUCCAAUUUGAUAUGCUGACAGUACAUAAAGAUUGCACAAGCCAGGCGGUUUGUUAUAGAGUAAAUU